GGGGAUUUGGCUCAGUGGUAGAGCGCUUGCCUGGCAAGCACAAGGCCCUGGGUUCGGUCCCCAGCUCUU
Molecule: transfer RNA, 69 nt
Filed under: Rattus norvegicus (Norway rat)
Lineage: Eukaryota; Metazoa; Chordata; Mammalia; Rodentia; Muridae
Rfam family: tRNA
About the family: Transfer RNA (tRNA) molecules are approximately 80 nucleotides in length.
Source: Rfam by way of RNAcentral